RNAcentral lists this ribosomal RNA (274 nucleotides) under uncultured bacterium. RNAcentral describes it as "partial 16S ribosomal RNA". It matches the Rfam family "Bacterial small subunit ribosomal RNA", at positions 523 to 796 of the family's 1533-position model. The record is from RNAcentral.
ACACGAACCGUACGAACGUUAUUCGGAAUUACUGGGCUUAAAGAGUGCGUAGGCGGCUUGGAAGGUUGGAUGUGAAAUCCCUCGGCCUAACCGAGGAAUUGCGUUCAAAACCGCCAAGCUUGAGGAAGGCAGAGGUGAGCGGAACUGAUGGUGGAGCGGUGAAAUGCGUUGAUAUCAUCAGGAACACCGGUGGCGAAGGCGGCUCACUGGGCCUUUUCUGACGCUGAGGCACGAAAGCUAGGGGAGCGAACGGGAUUAGAAACCCUAGUAGUCC